CUGGAGCAGCAGCUCCAUGGCGUCGAUCUGGAGUGCGAGGGCAGCAGAGGAAGCGAGGUCCCGAGCUCCUGUGUGACCGUCCUCUCCCAGAGCUCCAUCCCAACCGCCAUUUUCCCCUCCCCCAAGAUGCACUUCCUCCAUCUUGUGUGCAUAGGCCCUCACGCACACAAGGACAUGGCUACUAUGUAGAGCUGCUCCAUAGUUGAAGAAAACAGUCCCAAAGGCCAGGUUUGCACAUCACUUGUUUGUGUAAAUGCUCGAUGAGCAGUACUACUCAGGGAACGGCAACAUGAUAAACAUAGGAGAAAACCCAAGGGCUAUUUCAGAAGGAUGAUGAGAAGGUGCAGUGUUAACUAUGGGUUGCAAUAUUCUUCAUGGAAUUUUGGGCCUUGUGGAAAUAAUGAUUCUUGUGUGAAAUCCGCUCCCUUAUAUUUAUUCAGAGCAUGUAGCACUCACCUGGAUUCUAUGGAUACAAUGUAGAUCCUUGUAACUAUGGUAGUACUUCGCCAGGUGGCGCAUAUGAGCAUGAGUACAACUAUGAUAAGCUUCCUUGGGACCAUUGACAUCAUGUGCGGCGAGUGGUUUCUAUAACCACUACGAGGACCAAUUUGUCAUGAUUGACUUGUUGGACAAUGAGAUUGUCAAGCUCGAGAACUUCCCUUUGAUGUCGUUUCCCCUCACAGAAGAAGUUCUGAAGAUAGUGUUGUCAUACUCUGUGGGCAUGGCUGUUGCUUAUUAUUCACCACCGUUAACCAAUUAGGUACAAUGUCCAUCUACUGAUAUGCUGCUACAAGAAUGUUAUCUUUCAAGACACAUCCUUGAGAUGUUGGCAUGUCAAUUACCCAUUCUAGAAAUAUCCAACAUGCCAAACAGGUAUGAUGGGUGGAGUACUAACGCUAACAUGGCAUCACAUAGACGUUCUAUACAAAAACGCUGAAAUAUCGCAGGGAACAAUACUACACUAUGGCUUCUCUUUGCUUCUCGAAUACACGAUGUAGCAUUCCGUGUUUUACUUGCUUUCCUGUAAAUACGAUUUGAUACCUAUCUUUACCAAUCAUAUGCUACUCAGAUGUCCAGAAUAGCCUUGAGAUCAGAUUGACAUGAAUCUCUCAUGUAACUUGGAUAAUUUACCGACCAUAUUCUACUUGAGUAAUAUUACCAUAGUUCUCUCUUCGAAUAUAUAUAUAUAUAUAUACUUUCCCUCUUUCUUGCUGCAAGCACUUAUGAAGAUAUGUAGUCCUAAUAUGGUUUGGUGCCGGUUUGGUUAAGUAAAGCGUGAUACAGAUAUAAUAUAAAUCAUUCAGUGCUCUCAGUUGGGGUUUACCUUUGUUAUUUUUGCUCAAUGGUCUUGUGUGUGGGGAAGUAGAAACAACUUUUGGUGACCUGACAGGUGUUUUGCCUUUUUUUUUUAUUGCAACUGCCCUUUUGUAUGCAAAUAAGAUCAACAUUUGUCUUUCAUCACAGAAUUAAUCCUCCACUUUAGUGAAGUUCAUAGAUAUAUCUGACAGAUAGUCUCUUAAUUCUUAACUCUUCAUGCAAACUUUCAUUGUAGUUCAUGGAGAAGUUCACUCUUUAAUCAAGCACUGCUCGAACUAAAGCACUUUUAGAGGCAUCUUGCUUAAGAUCCACAUAUAUUUAUGUGUAUCAUUUGUGUUUAAAUAACUAUCUGAAUAUAUGCACUGACAUUUUGUAAGCUGUCAGUUUGGUGAGCUGAGUGUUGGUCAGGUUUCCAUUACGUUUGAUGCUGACUGUAUAUCAAAUCAAAAAACAACCAUGUACCAGUAUCUUAGGGGUAUUACUGUAGUAAUAAUGUGAAUGUGUAUGAUCGGUUUCCCUCUGAUUUGGUAUCAUUCCCAUAGAUAUUAGAAUUUGGAGUAAUGUGAAUGUGUGUGGUCCGUUCUCUACUAUGUGUGCCAAUCUGGCAAAGAAAAGAAGUGGAAGAAUCUCACCGAAGAGUUUCAUGAAGGAGAACAAGGUUGGAAUUGUUGGUGUUCCACUGGACUAAUGAAGAAGACCAAGGUGAUAGAGGACAGCUGGGUUCCAGUCUGGGAGGAGUUCACCUUGAUCCGUGUGCAGGUGCACAAGUACAACAUGUCGGAGAAGGACAAAUUGGCACAAGAGGGGUUGAUUCUGCUUUGGUUUCAAAUCCACAGUGUGCACAGGCUGUUGUUGGUGGUGUUGAGCAUGAGGUAUGUUCCAAUGAUACUUUCUCUAGCAUUCCUCGUGCUUUUAUUGUAUUUUAUCCCACCAUAUACAAUUUUUAUUGAUGUAUUAUCUGCUUCAAAUUGCUAAUAAAAAUGCUUCAGGUCAAAGGUUAGGCAAUAUAUGCUUUUGUGACUUUGGUGGAUGGUAUUCCUUAUAGUGAAGAACUAUGAAAAGGCCACAUAGCAGUAGUCUAAAAUCAGGUAUAUCAAUGGAUUACACCCUUUCAAUAAAAAGUCUGAAGAAGUUGCAUUAUUUUGUAGACAACCAGAGCAAAGGCUGCUGCUGAUUUCUGGGUUCCAGGAAUAGGAAGGAAUGCUUAUGUUUAAAAGGAUCAGGUUAGUCUUUCCAUGAUCCCUGACCGCUGAAACUCAUUUGAGAUUAGAACUUAACAUUGGGUUCGAACCACUAUAUAUUAUGUUGAGAACUUGAUAUAGCAGGUCCACAAUACUUUAAUAGGUUGAAGUUGUAGGUUGACACAUCAGAAAGCACCAUGAGAGUAUGCAAGGUCCUCCAUUCUAAUGGCUUUGGUGUUCCAUCUUCUCAAAGCAAAGCCAUAGACCAUGGAUCUGUUCUCCGCUCUAAUGUGGCAGCAACUGUCAGUUGGCAAGAGAGCAGGUCGGGAGGGGGCUACCUUCUGGACGGUUUGGAUUUAGAAUGCCCAAACCCUAAUUCUCUGUUUAACCCCUUUGCCUCAUUUAUAUGUAUUGUUGAGCUCCUCAGUUAUGUUAGCUAUUUAGCUUAGACAUCAUCUGAGUAUUUGUUAAAUAUGGUCCAAGUGUUAUUUGUUAAAUACUCAUAUUGGUUUUCUGUCUUCCUCAAUACAUUGUCUCAAUUUGACCAAGCAGAAGCUCUCAAACAAUGCAGCAUAUAUGCAUGCCCUGUAAUGGUCAGAAAAAGAGUAGAACUAAACAUAUUAUUGCAAUAUGGGCUAUUUACUAUGGUGCGGCCUUUUAUUCUAUU
Long non-coding RNA from Lolium rigidum, 3165 nucleotides. RefSeq lists it as uncharacterized. Lineage: Eukaryota; Viridiplantae; Streptophyta; Magnoliopsida; Poales; Poaceae. The transcript has 7 exons. The record is from RefSeq and is a predicted model, not a curated record.